This 252-nucleotide ribosomal RNA is filed under the name uncultured prokaryote. Its description in RNAcentral is "partial 16S rRNA". It matches the Rfam family "Archaeal small subunit ribosomal RNA", at positions 475 to 726 of the family's 1478-position model. The record is from RNAcentral.
ACCGGCAGCUCAAGUGGUGGCCAUUUUUAUUGGGCCUAAAGCGUUCGUAGCCGGUUUGAUAAGUCUCUGGUGAAAUCCCGCAGCUUAACUGUGGGACUUGCUGGAGAUACUAUUAGACUUGAGGUCGGGAGAGGUUAGGGGUACUCCCAGGGAGGGGGGGAAAGCCUAGAAGCCGGGGAGGACCAACGGUGGCGAAGGCGGCGAACUGGAACGUAACUGAUGGUGAGUAACGGAAGCGAGGGGCGUCCACCU